Molecule: ribosomal RNA, 788 nt
Filed under: uncultured Clostridia bacterium
Lineage: Bacteria; Bacillati; Bacillota; Clostridia
Description: bacterial SSU rRNA
Rfam family: Bacterial small subunit ribosomal RNA
Source: RNAcentral
UUAAGUGGAUUAGUGGCGAACGGGUGAGUAACACGUGAGUAACCUGCCUUACACAAGGGGAUAGCCUCUGGAAACGGAGAAUAAUACCCUAUAAAGUCUAAUCAGCCCAUGCUGGAAAGACCAAAGAUUUAUCGGUGUAAGAUGGACUUGCGUCUGAUUAGCUAGUUGGUGAGAUAAAAGCUCACCAAGGCGACGAUCAGUAGCCGGCUUGAGAGAGUGUACGGCCACAUUGGGACUGAGACACGGCCCAGACUCCUACGGGAGGCAGCAGUGGGGAAUUUUGCACAAUGGGGGAAACCCUGAUGCAGCGACGCCGCGUGAUUUAGAAGGCCUUCGGGUUGUAAAAAUCUUUUGUAUGGGAAGAAAAUGACAGUACCAUACGAAUAAGGACCGGCUAAUUACGUGCCAGCAGCCGCGGUAAUACGUAAGGUCCGAGCGUUGUCCGGAAUCAUUGGGCGUAAAGGGUACGUAGGCGGAUAAGCAAGUUAGAAGUGAAAUCCUAUAGCUCAACUAUAGUAAGCUUUUAAAACUGCUCAUCUUGAGGUAUGGAAGGGAAAGUGGAAUUCCUAGUGUAGCGGUGAAAUGCGCAGAUAUUAGGAGGAAUACCGGUGGCGAAGGCGACUUUCUGGCCAUAAACUGACGCUGAGGUACGAAAGCGUGGGUAGCAAACAGGAUUAGAUACCCUGGUAGUCCACGCCGUAAACGAUGAGUGUUAGGUGUCUGGAAUAAUCUGGGUGCCGCAGCUAACGCAUUAAGUACUCCGCCUGGGAGUACGCACGCAAGUGUGA